Molecule: ribosomal RNA, 492 nt
Filed under: uncultured bacterium
Lineage: Bacteria
Description: partial 16S ribosomal RNA
Rfam family: Bacterial small subunit ribosomal RNA
Source: RNAcentral
AGUGAACGCUGGCGGUGUGCCUAACACAUGCAAGUCGAACGGCAGCACAGUAAGAGCUUGCUCUUACGGGUGGCGAGUGGCGGACGGGUGAGGCAUACAUCGGAAUCUACUUUUUCGUGGGGGAUAACGUAGGGAAAGUUACGUUAAUACCGCAUACGACCUACGGGUGCAAGCAGGGGAUCUUCGGACCUUGCGCGAUUGAAUGAGCCGAUGUCGGAUUAGCUAGUUGGCGGGGUAAAGGCCCACCAAGGCGACGAUCCGUAGCUGGUCUGAGAGGAUGAUCAGCCACACUGGAACUGAGACACGGUCCAGACUCCUACGGGAGGCAGCAGUGGGGAAUAUUGGACAAGGGGCGAAAGCCUGAUCCAGCAAGACCGCGUGGGUGAAGAAGGCCUUCGGGUUGUAAAGCCCUUUUGUUGGGAAAGAAAAGCAGCAGGUUAAUACCCCGCUGUUCUGACGGUACCCAAAGAGAAAGCAACGGCUAACUUCGUG